AGAGUUUGAUCCUGGCUCAGGAUGAACGCUGGCGGCGUGCCUAACACAUGCAAGUCGAACGGGGUUAUUUUGGAAAAUCCUUCGGGAUUGGAAUUCUUAACCUAGUGGCGGACGGGUGAGUAACGCGUGAGCAAUUUGCCUUUAAGAGGGGGAUAACAGUCGGAAACGGCUGCUAAUACCGCAUAAAGCAUCAAAUUCGCAUGUUUUGAUGCCAAAGGAGCAAUCCGCUUUUAGAUGAGCUCGCGUCUGAUUAGCUGGUUGGCGGGGUAACGGCCCACCAAGGCGACGAUCAGUAGCCGGACUGAGAGGUUGAACGGCCACAUUGGGACUGAGACACGGCCCAGACUCCGUACGGGAGGCA
Molecule: ribosomal RNA, 361 nt
Filed under: uncultured bacterium
Lineage: Bacteria
Description: bacterial SSU rRNA
Rfam family: Bacterial small subunit ribosomal RNA
Source: RNAcentral